CAGAAAUUUUCCAAAGUAGAUUUUUGAAUUUUUUUCAGUACCAUGUGUCUAUUGAAGACUCAAGUUGGAGGUUGGAUCAUCUGGCUUAGGAAUACAUGGAGGCGAACGACAAGAAGAAUAUCGAGAUGUAGGAAAUAGGCCAUGAUCUACAUGUAUUGAUGCCUUGAUAAUGGCAGGUCUUGCAAGUACUUUAAUAUAUGUUAAUUAGAGGUUAGAGCUAUGAAGUUAUACCUCAGAACUUGGGGUAAUGGCAUGUGAAUUGCAGUGGUUUGAGUACUGCUAAGAGCAUACAUUUCAUCAAUCUGGAAUGCAUAUUUAUUUAAUUUAGUUCAUAAUGAGGAAGUGAAACAAGAACCGUGUUGGCGAUUUUUUUGGAGUUUCAAAGAUAACAACGAAAAGAGUAGAAGGAAUGAGGAUGACGAUAAAUCAUAAUGGUGUCGUUUGGAUGGAGGAGCAAACCAGAAGGCAAUUUGUAGAUGCCAUUAGAUGCAGCACCUGGCGUGUUCAGAUUGUAGAACAUGGUGGUGGGAUGAUGCUGGCAGGAGGAAAAGAGGGAUGCAAUUUCUAAAGGUUUAUAUUUACUGCUUUGAGGAUGACAUGUAUGGAAUUUCGCAAUGGUACUAUGUGUCGUAUAGUUAUAGUUUAGGCUUUCGACUACGGCCUGCUCAGGUAGUACGCGUUGCAACAGGUGUAUCGGGUGACACAGGGGAUGAGAGUUUGACGGCUUUAAGGUCCGUGACCAAUGACCUCCUCCCACCUUCAGAAAAACUGUUCUCGCGUGGAAACAUGGUUCUGAAAGAUCACACCUGUUGUAAUCUCAAAUGAAAUAAGCAUACAGCCAGCUGUUGGUGCACAUGGAAAUGGAAGAUCUUUGGUCAAUUCAAUCUUCUCUUUACCUUUGAUGGGAACUCACUGAAUAAUAUGGACGUGCUUACUUGGAUAGAGAAGAUGGUAAGUUAGAUCAAUCAUCUUGGGAGAGGUUUCUUAUCCGACAGAAUCCGACUAGACUAAUACUUCUCAUUAUAUUUAACUGAUGUGGCAAAUAUGAAAAGUGCAAAAGAAAAGUGUGGCAAAUGUGCAGCCCCCUUUAAGUAACAUGAGUCUUUGUCUGAAUAUUAUAUUAUAUUAAAUGUGUCUUGGAAAAGAAAUUGAGGAUCUAUUAUAUUAAA
Long non-coding RNA from Lolium rigidum, 1169 nucleotides. RefSeq lists it as uncharacterized. NCBI's taxonomy places the organism in Eukaryota, Viridiplantae, Streptophyta, Magnoliopsida, Poales, Poaceae. The record is from RefSeq and is a predicted model, not a curated record. The transcript has 5 exons.